AGCUAUCAAGCGAUAGUAACUUUAUUGUUACUGUUUAGCUUGGAUUUGGGGCUUUGCUGUGUUACAACGGCUGUCCUUAAACGCAUUAGCCGGUUUCUAAUGGGAAGACUUGGUUCUUACUCGGUGUGAUAAUUAUCUUACAUUGAGGACAUUGGGCUUUCACGAGUCUAAUGGCCAGGACUUAUUAUUAGGCUGCUUCUAAUCGUCUCUUCUGACAAUUUUAUUUUCAA
RNAcentral lists this unclassified non-coding RNA (230 nucleotides) under uncultured Sistotrema. RNAcentral describes it as "sequence contains ITS2". The record is from RNAcentral. Lineage: Eukaryota; Fungi; Basidiomycota; Agaricomycetes; Corticiales; Corticiaceae.